This 126-nucleotide small RNA is filed under the name Marmota monax (woodchuck). Lineage: Eukaryota; Metazoa; Chordata; Mammalia; Rodentia; Sciuridae. The record is from RNAcentral.
GCCAGGCUGGUGGCACACGCCUGUAAUCCCAGCCACUAGGGAGGCUGAGGCAGAAGGAUCAUGUGUUCAAAGACAGCCUCACCCACUUAGGGAGGCCCUAAGCAACACAGUGAGACCCUGUCUCUA